UGCGUAGGCGGUCUUUCAAGCCAGAAGUGAAAGGCUACGGCUCAACCGUAGUAAGCUUUGGAACUGUAAGACUUGAGUGCAGGAGAGGAGAGUGGAAUUCCUAGUGUAGCGGUGAAAUGCGUAGAUAUUAGGAGGAACACCAGUAGCGAAGGCGGCUCUCUGGACUGUAACUGACGCUGAGGCACGAAAGCGUGGGGAGCAAACA
RNAcentral lists this ribosomal RNA (205 nucleotides) under uncultured Clostridium sp. Its description in RNAcentral is "partial 16S ribosomal RNA". It matches the Rfam family "Bacterial small subunit ribosomal RNA", at positions 568 to 774 of the family's 1533-position model. The record is from RNAcentral. Lineage: Bacteria; Bacillati; Bacillota; Clostridia; Eubacteriales; Clostridiaceae.